This 73-nucleotide transfer RNA is filed under the name Solirubrobacterales bacterium. RNAcentral describes it as "tRNA-Asn". It matches the Rfam family "tRNA". Rfam says of the family: Transfer RNA (tRNA) molecules are approximately 80 nucleotides in length. Their secondary structure includes four short double-helical elements and three loops (D, anti-codon, and T loops). RNAcentral also lists the same sequence under 1 other name. The record is from RNAcentral. Lineage: Bacteria; Bacillati; Actinomycetota; Thermoleophilia; Solirubrobacterales.
UCCGGGGUAGCUCAACUGGCAGAGCAUUCGGCUGUUAACCGAAGGGUUGCGGGUUCGAAUCCCGCCCCCGGAG